GUGUCAGUAUCAGUCCAGGUGGUCGCCUUCGCCACUGGUGUUCCUUCCUAUAUCUACGCAUUUCACCGCUACACAGGAAAUUCCACCACCCUCUACCGUACUCUAGCUUGCCAGUUUUGGAUGCAGUUCCCAGGUUGAGCCCGGGGCUUUCACAUCCAACUUAACAAACCACCUACGCGCGCUUUACGCCCAGUAAUUCCGAUUAACGCUUGCACCCUCUGUAUUACCGCGGCUGCUGGCACAGAGUUAGCCGGUGCUUAUUCUGUCGGUAACGUCAAAACAGCAAGGUAUUAACUUACUGCCCUUCCUCCCAACUUAAAGUGCUUUACAAUCCGAAGACCUUCUUCACACACGCGGCAUGGCUGGAUCAGGCUUUCGCCCAUUGUCCAAUAUUCCCCACUGCUGCCUCCCGUAGGAGUCUGGACCGUGUCUCAGUUCCAGUGUGACUGAUCAUCCUCUCAGACCAGUUACGGAUCGUCGCCUUGGUGAGCCAUUACCCCACCAACUAGCUAAUCCGACCUAGGCUCAUCUGAUAGCGCAAGGCCCGAAGGUCCCCUGCUUUCUCCCGUAGGACGUAUGCGGUAUUAGCGUUCCUUUCGAAACGUUGUCCCCCACUACCAGGCAGAUUCCUAGGCAUUACUCACCCGUCCGCCGCUGAAUCAAGGAGCAAGCUCCCGUCAUCCGCUCGAC
RNAcentral lists this ribosomal RNA (690 nucleotides) under Pseudomonas sp. RNAcentral describes it as "partial 16S rRNA". The record is from RNAcentral. Lineage: Bacteria; Pseudomonadati; Pseudomonadota; Gammaproteobacteria; Pseudomonadales; Pseudomonadaceae.